AGGAGUUCCCAGAGAAGCAGGAACUGCAUCGGAAUAUGCUGGGACUCUUGGGGAACGUAGCCGAGGUGAAGGAGCUACGGCCCCAGCUGAUGACUUCGCAGUUCAUCAGUGUCUUUAGCAACCUCCUCGAGAGCAAGGCCGAUGGGAUUGAGGUUUCCUACAACGCCUGUGGCGUCCUCUCCCACAUCAUGUUUGAUGGGCCUGAGGCCUGGGGCAUCUGUGAGCCCCAGCGGGAGGAGGUGGAGGAGCGCAUGUGGGCAGCCAUCCAGAGCUGGGACAUCAACUCCCGGAGAAAUAUCAAUUACAGGUCAUUUGAGCCAAUCCUUCGCCUCCUUCCCCAGGGCAUCUCGCCUGUCAGCCAGCAUUGGGCCACCUGGGCCCUGUACAACCUGGUGUCUGUCUACCGUGAGUGUGCCCUCUUGCCCUUUGAUCACCCGUGCGCUGAGAGCAGACCCGCCUCCAGGAGGCGACAGCCCGGGAGGCAGCAGCGGGAGAGCUGGUGUUGGCGUCUGCGCCUCGGCACACGGCCCUCCGCUUGCCCACAGCGGUGGGAUGCCAGCGUCAUGGCUGGCCCCUGGCUCGUCCCCACAGGCAGCCCUGGCCCAUCUGGACAUCCCAGGCAGCUUUCUUGCUGUGUCCUGCUUCCACCUGAGCCAAGAGUCCAAGCUCUCCAUGCCUCCCGUGAGGCAGACUAAGACCAACCCCAGCUGAGAACGAACCCCUGAGGAAAGAGGAGAGACUUAAAAACACUCACUUCCUCAGAGACUCGCACCCUCUCUUAGAAGAGCCUGAACUGCCCACUGCCCGGUGGCUUUGGGGGAGGGGAAAGAGGGCGCAACUCUAAGAGACUUUGCUUUUUUUUUUUUUUUGACCCUAGUUCUCACCGUCACUGCUUGUGUGACCUCAUGCAGUUACCUAACCUCUCCGGGUUUUGGUUUCCUCCUCUGCAAAAUGUAAUAACAGCUACUUCAUAAGAUUGACGUGAGGGA
Molecule: long non-coding RNA, 989 nt
Filed under: Sus scrofa (pig)
Lineage: Eukaryota; Metazoa; Chordata; Mammalia; Artiodactyla; Suidae
Description: lncRNA (ENSSSCG00015006719.1)
Source: RNAcentral